Molecule: long non-coding RNA, 819 nt
Organism: Anarrhichthys ocellatus (wolf-eel)
Lineage: Eukaryota; Metazoa; Chordata; Actinopteri; Perciformes; Anarhichadidae
Exons: 2
Source: RefSeq, a predicted model, not a curated record
UUUAACCUGAGGUAUGUGCAGUUUAACCUGAGGUAUGUGCAGUUUAAACUGAGGUAUGUGCAGUUUAACCUGAGGUAUGUGCAGUUUAGUUUAACCUGAGGUAUGUGCAGUUUAGUUUAACCUGAGGUAUGUGCAGUUUAAGCCUUUAUUUUGAAGGAGGAAAACAUCCUGAGCUGCUGGCUGUCAAGUAAAAAUGAAUAAAUCUAUACUGUCCUAUUGAAGCACUUUUUGAUGUGUUCUUAUUCCUUGUCAGUAUUGUGGAUACUACGGUGUUUGUUCAGUAUUUCCUGUUUGGCUUUUUGUUUACCAGCUAUAUUGGUAUAAAUACUUGUCUUGCGUUAUUUAGCCUUAAAUAGCAGUCGUAGUGUCUUUGAUUGAGAACCUUUUUGAUCGUAUUGUUUUUGAAAUACCGAUAGUUUACAGAGAGCUUGGAGAUGGAUAUCUGUACAAAUAACACUUCUUGUUUUUAGAGUUAGAAUUUAAAUCGAACUGUUAAACCUUUCAGUAGAAUUGGAUGAGAGGAAAAGGAGAUAUCCGUUGGCCACGUUCCUGUGUUCUCGUUGAUCUCCUUGAGAUCUGAAUGACAUCAAACUUAUUUUUGAAGUUUGCAUUUACCCUGUUGUAUUAAAAACAAACGUAGAGUUGUCAGACUGUAGUCUCCCCCCCACCACCACAUGUUUAGUCUGAAUCUGAAGUUCAGUGACAAACUGCCCACGUUUUACAAAGGAAGCGCUGGGUCAUAUUUACACACCAGUGGAUGUUUAACUGUAUUUAUUGUGUACAAAUAAAUGUGAAAUAAAGAUAGCUUCAAUGAAACAA